Molecule: long non-coding RNA, 1830 nt
Organism: Rhinopithecus roxellana (golden snub-nosed monkey)
Lineage: Eukaryota; Metazoa; Chordata; Mammalia; Primates; Cercopithecidae
Source: Ensembl
AAAGAAGAGAGAAAAAAAAUUCUUACAGAAAGAGCUGAUUAUUCAGGAGUAAAUCUAAGGAAAUUCUUACUUGAGAUGCUUUACUCAAACUUGUGUUGUGUCUGCUUGUUUGAGGGGUCCAAGCCUGUGUAUUGUAAGAUUCAUCACUGAAGGUGAAGAUGUUGCUGGCCUAUUCAGAUUGAUAACAUGCAUUUCUCCCCCACAUCUAGCUACGUGGUGAACAUGGGUCUGAUUGACAAACUGUGUGCCUGCUUCCUCUCGGUGCAAGGCCCAGUGGAUGAGAAUCCCAAGAUGGCCACAUUUCUGCAGCAUGCCACAGGACUCUUACAUGCAAUGUGCACAUUGUGCUUUGCUGUCACUGGAAGGUCAUACAGCAUAUUUGACAAUAAUCGCCAGGAUCCCACAGGGCUGACAGCUGCUCUUCAGGCAACCGACCUGGCUGGAGUUCUUCAUAUGCUCUACUGUGUCCUCUUCCAUGGCACCAUCUUGGACCCUAGCACUGCCAGUCCCAAGGAAAAUUACACCCAAAAUACCAUUCAAGUAGCCAUUCAGAGUUUACGUUUCUUCAACAGCUUUGCAGCUCUUCAUCUGCCUGCUUUUCAGUCUAUUGUAGGGGCAGAGGGCUUGUCCCUUGCAUUCCGGCACAUGGCCAGCUCCCUGCUGGGCCACUGCAGCCAAGUCUCCUGUGAAAGCCUCCUUCAUGAGGUCAUCGUCUGUGUGGGCUACUUCACUGUUAACCACCCAGAUAACCAGGUAAUAGUGCAGUCCGGCCGCCACCCCACAGUGCUGCAGAAGCUCUGCCAGUUGCCCUUCCAGUAUUUCAGUGACCCACGGCUGAUCAAAGUACUGUUCCCUUCACUUAUCGCUGCUUGUUACAACAACCAUCAGAACAAGAUCAUUCUGGAGCAAGAGAUGAGCUGUGUUUUACUGGCCACUUUCAUUCAGGAUUUGGCACAGACUCCAGGUCAAGCAGAAAACCAGCCUUACCAGCCCAAAGGGAAAUGCCUUGGUUCCCAAGACUAUCUUGAGCUGGCUAACAGAUUUCCUCAGCAGGCCUGGGAAGAAGCUCGACAGUUUUUCUUGAAAAAAGAGAAAAAAUAAAUAAAUGUUUUGGUUGAUUCUGUAUUUGAGUACCCUUGUUAAUAUUUUAAAUUGUUCAAACAAACAUUCUAAUUGUUCCUUAAGAACUCAUUUUCACAUGUUUAUACUCUCCCCACACUGUAGAUAUGGCAUGUACUUUACACUAUUUAUGACUGUAGAUACUUGAAUGUUCUACUUGCUAAUUUUGCAAGUUGAGUGUAUUUCAUUUAUGCAAAAUAUCUUGGAGUUUGAUAACUUCCAUCUAAUGAUAAUAUAUACUUUGCAUUUGUAAUAUUGGUGAAAGUAGACAUAAAAUUAGCAAGUCUGUUUUGUUCUUGUAAUAAAAUAACUUAUUCUGUUUUCAUUGUUGACUUUUCAUGUUAAGGAAAUACAAAUCUGAAAGAAAAAUGUUAACUCCACCCCUUGAAGUAUCUUAAAUAAAGACUUAAUUAAAGUUUACCUGCUCUAAAUUUAACUUUUAAAGGUCUACGGUAAAGAUAUUUGCAACACUUUUACAUUCUGACUACAUAAUAUGUUUGGGGACUAUUUGAAAUCAACUUAGGGCAUUGUAUUCAUUGGUCUGCCUGGGAACCUCUCUCCUCGCGGAUAAUUCUGAGAACUUCUCUUGGCAUUGCCAAGCCGAAAUUAUUCUCCUAAGUAAAAAUUAGUGAUAAAAAAGAUGUGUCCUAGUGAAUCACCCUAGAGUAUUUUCUCUCAUGGUUGUGAAAUGAAGCAACGCUGAAGUAAAAG